RNAcentral lists this transfer RNA (80 nucleotides) under Deinococcus grandis. RNAcentral's name for it is "tRNA-Thr". Lineage: Bacteria; Thermotogati; Deinococcota; Deinococci; Deinococcales; Deinococcaceae. The record is from RNAcentral.
GCACGCGCUGGACUCGCAGGUCACGCCGCUCGUGACGGCGUUCCAGCCGGACUUCGCGUUCUACCUCGCGGGCGCGGACG